This 468-nucleotide ribosomal RNA is filed under the name uncultured bacterium. RNAcentral's name for it is "partial 16S ribosomal RNA". It matches the Rfam family "Bacterial small subunit ribosomal RNA", at positions 28 to 507 of the family's 1533-position model. The record is from RNAcentral.
GACGAACGCUGGCGGCGUGCUUAACACAUGCAAGUCGAACGGAAAGGCCCUGCUUUUGUGGGGUGCUCGAGUGGCGAACGGGUGAGUAACACGUGAGUAACCUGCCCUUGACUUUGGGAUAACUUCAGGAAACUGGGGCUAAUACCGGAUAGGAGCUCCUGCUGCAUGGUGGGGGUUGGAAAGUUUCGGCGGUUGGGGAUGGACUCGCGGCUUAUCAGCUUGUUGGUGGGGUAGUGGCUUACCAAGGCUUUGAAGGGUAGCCGGCCUGGGAGGGUGAACGGCCACAUGGGGACUGAGAGACGGCCCAGACUCCUACGGGAGGCAGCAGUGGGGAAUAUUGCACAAUGGGCGGAAGCCUGAUGCAGCAACGCCGCGUGCGGGAUGACGGCCUUCGGGUUGUAAACCGCUUUCGCCUGUGACGAAGCGUGAGUGACGGUAAUGGGUAAAGAAGCACCGGCUAACUACGUG